GAUGAACGCUAGCUACAGGCUUAACACAUGCAAGUCGAGGGGUAACGAGAGGAAAGCUUGCUUUCCUUGUUGACGACCGGCGCACGGGUGAGUAACGCGUAUCCAACCUGCCCCCAACUAGGGAAUAACCUUGCGAAAGUAAGACUAAUACCCUAUAAUUUCCUCAGAUGUCAUCUGACGAGGAAUAAAGAUUUAUCGGUUGUGGAUGGGGAUGCGUCUGAUUAGCUUGUUGGCGGGGUAACGGCCCACCAAGGCAACAAUCAGUAGGGGUUCUGCGAGGGAGGUCCCCCACAUUGGAACUGAGACACGGUCCAAACUCCUACGGGAGGCAGCAGUGAGUAAUAUUGGUCAAUGGGCGGAAGCCUGAACCAGCCAAGUAGCGUGCAGGAUGACGGCCCUAUGGGUUGUAAACUGCUUUUAUACAGGAAUAAAGUUAGCCACGUGUGGUUAUUUGUAGGUACUGUAUGAAUAAGGACCGGCUAAUUCCGUGCCAGCCGCCGCCGUAA
RNAcentral lists this ribosomal RNA (506 nucleotides) under uncultured bacterium. RNAcentral describes it as "partial 16S ribosomal RNA". It matches the Rfam family "Bacterial small subunit ribosomal RNA", at positions 28 to 523 of the family's 1533-position model. The record is from RNAcentral.